AGGAAGAUGGGGAACAAAGAGCCUGGGAUCAAGGCCACGCCACGUUUCCGCGUGUGCGGUCCGCAGCCUCUUCACAGUCGAAUAACGAUCUGAGCGAAGGUGCAGGCUCCAGAGAAGCUGCAGAAGCGAAAAAAAGCAAAAAGACGCGGCUGACCUUAGGGACCGAGAUGGUAGCGGCUGGUUCCAGGCAGCAAGAUGGAGGAAGGGACAAGGAAGAGAGCAAAGCUACUCACCUGACACUGGACACUUCUGCUCACAUCCUGUUGGCCAGAACUUAGUCACAGGACCUGACCUAAACUACAAAGAAGCCUUGAAAAUUAGUCUUUUCUUUCCGGGUGAAAAUGUUCAGCCCCAGCUGCAAAUUCUAUUAUGUGGAAAAAAGAGAGACAGGAUCUUGAGGAACAACUAGAAGUUUCUACCAACACAAAAUCGUCUUUCUGGAUUUAGCCUAAAGGUUCAUGUGGAUAAAGAAAAGAUCCAUUUAUUCAUUCAUUCAAUGACUCACUUAGUUGUUUAACUCAACAGAUAUUUAUUGAGUACCUACUAUGUGCUAGGCACUGUUCUGUGGGCUGAGCUAUACUCGUGAGUUAAACAGGGUUCCCUGCCCUCAUGAAGCCUAUUACAUCCUAGCAGGGAAGAAAGACAACAAGUAAUAAAGAUAAGGAAUUAAAGGACACAGUAUAUUAGAAGAGAAAUGGAACCACGCUUAUUAAUUUGUCUAACAUUUGCCUAACGAUACACCCAAGGCAGCUUUCCAGGGCCACACAGCUCAGUACGUCAGACCUUGACUUCUGGAUUCAGACAGGCCUGGGUUCGAAUCCCGGCUCUCUGCCUUGCAGCAGCCGUGCGGUGCUGG
This 856-nucleotide long non-coding RNA is filed under the name Equus caballus (horse). RNAcentral describes it as "lncRNA (ENSECAG00000043769.2)". The record is from RNAcentral. Lineage: Eukaryota; Metazoa; Chordata; Mammalia; Perissodactyla; Equidae.